AGUUAAGUUAACCACUUUAUAUUAAUCCUGGCCUGCCCAGGAAAGUGCCACACUCCUGCCAGAGGAUGGGGUGCACAAAACCUUUGCCCAGACUGUGGGGUGCAUUGAGGCCUUGUGCCCCAGUUCCGCUGAGUGGAAAGAUUAAUUUUCCUAGAGGAAAAGAGGAAGAUUAACUCCUGGAGGUGGGUAAAUCCACUCACAGAAGUGUCCAGAAGAGCUGCCAUUGGGGAUGACCUGGAAAACCUGAUGACUUCUGUGCAUGAGGACAGUGCUUGGCUGAAAGCAGGACAUUCCAGACUCCGAGCAGAGGUGACCGCUGGACAUACUGGCAAAAACCACAUUCCCUGCAGGGUUGGCUUGUUUUAUUUCCCUAAAAGCUUGGAGGAAAAAACCUUCCAAUGAGAUACAAAACUGGCUUUAAAGCAGUGCUGGAUGUGGUCCCUUGGUGGGGAAGGGGGGCUGUCUGAAA
Passer domesticus (house sparrow) is the source of this 469-nucleotide long non-coding RNA. RefSeq lists it as uncharacterized. The transcript is spliced from 2 exons. Lineage: Eukaryota; Metazoa; Chordata; Aves; Passeriformes; Passeridae. The record is from RefSeq and is a predicted model, not a curated record.